This is a long non-coding RNA of Malurus melanocephalus (red-backed fairy wren), 859 nucleotides long. RefSeq lists it as uncharacterized. NCBI's taxonomy places the organism in Eukaryota, Metazoa, Chordata, Aves, Passeriformes, Maluridae. The transcript has 4 exons. The record is from RefSeq and is a predicted model, not a curated record.
CAGCCAAGCUGCCGCGUGACCUGCAGUGCGCGUCGGUGCAGACGUUCGGGAUGCAGCAGUGCCAGCGCGCCUACGGGGGCGCCGUCACCCCAAACAUGUUCUGUGCGGGGGUACCGCAGGGGGGCGUGGACUCGUGUCAGGUGAGUGCAGGUGUGAACAGGUGUGAACAGGUGUGAACAGGUGUGUACAGGGGCGCCGUCACCCCAAACAUGUUCUGUGCAGGUGUGCCCCAGGGGGGCGUGGACUCGUGUCAGGUGAGCGUUACCUGUGACAGGUGUGAACAGGUGUGUACAGGUGUGAUCAGGUGUGAACAGGUGUGUACAGGUGUGAACAGGUGUGUACGGGGGCGCCGUCACCCCAAACAUGUUCUGUGCGGGGGUGCCCCAGGGGGGCGUGGACUCGUGUCAGGUGAGUGCAGGUGUGAACAGGUGUGAACAGGUGUGUACAGGUGUGAACAGGUGUGAACAGGUGUGUACAGGUGUGAACAGGUGUGAACAGGUGUGAACAGGUGUGAACAGGUGUGUACAGGGGGCGCCGUCACCCCAAACAUGUUCUGUGCGGGGGUGCCCCAGGGGGGCGUGGACUCGUGUCAGGUGAGUGCAGGUGUGAACAGGUGUGUACGGGGGCGCCGUCACCCCAAACAUGUUCUGUGCGGGGGUGCCCCAGGGGGGCGUGGACUCGUGUCAGGUGAGUGUUACCUGUGCCCAGGUGUGAACAGGUGUGAACAGGUGUGUACAGGUGUGAACAGGUGUGCCCAGGUGUGAACAUGUUCUGUGCGGGGGUACCGCAAGGGGGCGUGGACUCGUGCCAGGUGAGUGUUACCUGUGAACAGGUGUGUACAGGUGUGUGCAGGUGUGAA